This 204-nucleotide ribosomal RNA is filed under the name uncultured bacterium. RNAcentral describes it as "partial 16S ribosomal RNA". It matches the Rfam family "Bacterial small subunit ribosomal RNA", at positions 1297 to 1500 of the family's 1533-position model. The record is from RNAcentral.
AUUGCAGGCUGCAACUCGCCUGUAUGAAGUCGGAAUUGCUAGUAAUCGCGGAUCAGCAUGCCGCGGUGAAUACGUUCCCGGGCCUUGUACACACCGCCCGUCACACCAUGAGAGCCGGGAACACCCGAAGUCCGUAGUCUAACCGCAAGGAGGACGCGGCCGAAGGUGGGUUUGGUAAUUGGGGUGAAGUCGUAACAAGGUACC